UAGAGUUUGAUCCUGGCUCAGAUUGAACGCUGGCGGCAGGCCUAACACAUGCAAGUCGAGCGGUAGCACAAGAGAGCUUGCUCUCUGGGUGACGAGCGGCUGACGGGUGAGUAAUGUCUGGGAAACUGCCUGAUGGCGGGGGAUAACUAGUGGAAACGGUAGCUAAUACCGCAUAACGUCGCAAGACCAAAGUGGGGGACCUUCGGGCCUCACGCCAUCAGAUGUGCCCAGGUGGGAUUAGCUGGUAGGUGGGGUAACGGCUCACCUAGGCGACGAUCCCUAGCUGGUCUGAGAGGAUGACCAGCCACACUGGAACUGAGACACGGUCCAGACUCCUACGGGAGGCAGCAGUGGGGAAUAUUGCACAAUGGGCGCAAGCCUGAUGCAGCCAUGCCGCGUGUGUGAAGAAGGCCUUCGGGUUGUAAAGCACUUUCAGCGAGGAGGAAGGGUAAUGUGUUAAUAAGACAUUGC
RNAcentral lists this ribosomal RNA (471 nucleotides) under Serratia symbiotica. Its description in RNAcentral is "bacterial SSU rRNA". It matches the Rfam family "Bacterial small subunit ribosomal RNA", at positions 1 to 478 of the family's 1533-position model. Lineage: Bacteria; Pseudomonadati; Pseudomonadota; Gammaproteobacteria; Enterobacterales; Yersiniaceae. The record is from RNAcentral.